Asparagus officinalis (garden asparagus) is the source of this 485-nucleotide long non-coding RNA. RefSeq lists it as uncharacterized. The transcript has 2 exons. Lineage: Eukaryota; Viridiplantae; Streptophyta; Magnoliopsida; Asparagales; Asparagaceae. The record is from RefSeq and is a predicted model, not a curated record.
UUAAAUCUCCUCAAUCAGCCCAAAAUCUUUCUUUCUCUCUCCCCACGAGAUCCCCAAUCCCUCCUCAGAUCUUCAAUCGGACCUCCCCCUCCAUCUCCUACGCGACAUCCACAACGACGACGAUCUCCCAAAUCGGACCAAUUUCAAACCGUAGCUUCCAGAUCCGCCUUCCCCAACUCCCUCGAGCUCGAUCUCAAGUUGCCCCAACUCAGGUACUGUAUUCAAGAAGAUCAAGUAGACUAAUUAUCUACUUGGUUCCCUGUGGCUUUUGCUUUGCUCCUUUUGUUGGGAGUUUAAUAUGGCCUGAACUAUAAUGACAGAACUUGAAGGCUGCUGUGGUUGCCCUCUUACUUUUGUUUUGUUUAGGGCGAAAUAGAUUAUGCUUUAUGCAUAUAUUUCCCUUUAUCGCCCAUUAUAUAUGUAUCUCUUUCAUGUGUACUGAUGUAUGAAUAUUCUUUACGCAUAUAUAUUCCUUCUUCAGAUUU